Folsomia candida is the source of this 1050-nucleotide long non-coding RNA. RefSeq lists it as uncharacterized. The record is from RefSeq and is a predicted model, not a curated record. The transcript has 2 exons. Lineage: Eukaryota; Metazoa; Arthropoda; Collembola; Entomobryomorpha; Isotomidae.
CCUCGUAUGGCGAGGCAAUACGAAGGAAGAGCGUGGCUCGUAUAUCAUCCCAUGUAAAAAGUGGGACCCGAACGACGUCGUAGUUCGCUUCGCCUCCUGCCCUACUCUAUAUGCCGUUUGGAUCCACUUACUUCCUCCCCGUGAGCGCAUAGCAACAAGAUUGAGCAUCAGCAGCCAGCAGCACCACCCACCCUCCCUCCUGCGUCUCCCUUGCUUGCGUCCCAUUUUCCCUCCAACACCAACUGCCAAGCUGUCAGUCGACAACAAAACAUAGAAAUAAACAAACCUUGGAAAAGGAAAGAGGGCCAGAUUUUUGGGAAACUUUGAGCAAGUUGGAAAAGAGGAGGUAAAAAAGAGAAAUGGCGAAAGCAAAGGCCGCAGGAGCAAGCCCUGCGAAGGCGAAACCCGCCAAGGUGAAGAAGCCCAAGGGGAAGGCGAAGGCGAAAAAGCCCAAGGCCAAGGUCGCCAAGAAGGCGAAAUCCCCCAAAGCACCGAAACCAAAGACCACCAAGAAAGCAGCGUCUUAAAAUGGAGGGAAUGCAGCCCAGAUAAAAAUUUUAUGCACACUCUUAAGUAAUUAAUUCCAUAAGUACAAAUUUCAGAAUACCAGUUGAUUGUUGAGUUUUCCAAAAUUAGAUUUUUGAAAUUACAUAGUAUGUAGAAAAAAUUUUAUUCAUGUUCGAGUGUCGCUGGAAUGUUGAUUAGAUAUCUUUCGAGUAAUAAUUAGCAUGUAAGAAGUGUUAACCUAAUUGUAAGGAUUUUUAAGAUUGUGUUGAAAAUUUGAAAUCAAAAUUGAAAGCUUUAUUAUGACUUAGAUUGUAUUUAAGAGAAACUUUGGAUUUUUUAUUUGUGCAAAAUUUGCGUAGAAUUUGAUCAUUAUUUGCUGAAUUUGCAAUGUAUUUGGAGAGAAUUGGAAUGUUAAAGAUUAUUCAUUAAUUGGAAAGUUUUUAAAGUAUGGAAAAAUUCAAAUUGUGAAUCAAUUAUGUUUCAAUUCGGAAGAAAUUGGCGUGUUUAAAUUUAUAAAUAAAUUCCUUGUUUAGAAAAUCACAA